UGAGGAAUAUUGGUCAAUGGGCGAGAGCCUGAACCAGCCAAGUCGCGUGAGGGAAGACGGUCCUACGGAUUGUAAACCUCUUUUGUCGGGGAGUAAUAGGCGGGACGUGUCCUGCUGUGAGAGUACCCGAAGAAAAAGCAUCGGCUAACUCCGUGCCAGCAGCCGCGGUAAUACGGGGGAUGCGAGCGUUAUCCGGAUUCAUUGGGUUUAAAGGGUGCGUAGGCGGCUUUGCAAGUCAGCGGUGAAAGGCCCGGGCUCAACCCCGGAAAGUGCCGUUGAUACUGUGAGGCUGGAAUGCGGAUGCUGUGGGAGGAAUGAGUGGUGUAGCGGUGAAAUGCAUAGAUAUCACUCAGAGCACCGAUUGCGAAGGCAUCUCACAAAUCCGCAAUUGACGCUGAGGCACGAAAGCGUGGGGAUCGAACAGGAUUAGAUACCCUGGGUAGU
Molecule: ribosomal RNA, 444 nt
Filed under: uncultured Barnesiella sp.
Lineage: Bacteria; Pseudomonadati; Bacteroidota; Bacteroidia; Bacteroidales; Barnesiellaceae
Description: bacterial SSU rRNA
Rfam family: Bacterial small subunit ribosomal RNA
Source: RNAcentral